GAACUGUUGGAAAUAUUUGACAUUUUCACUUUAAACAUAAAUCAGAGAGUUACUUAGUUGUGAUUUCUUUCCAUUGCAAUUGCAUUUUUACACACAAGAAAGCAAAGUUUUAAUUUUUGCUAAAUAUUUCAAAAUAUUAAUUUUGGUGCGAACCAGUUAGAAAUAUUUGGCAUUUUGGUACAAAUACAAAUCAGAGAAUUUGUGUGAUACAAUUUGAUCGCAUUGCAGUGUACGUCUUUAUACAAAAGACGUUUUUACUGAAUAUAUUAAAACGCGUGUGGGUGACGAUAUCAGUUAAUAAUGGUUAACAUGCCUAUACAUUAUAUUAAUGAUGAAAAAGAAGAAGAUGAACUCUUAGAUGCUAUAAGGGAACAUCAAAAUUACUGUCCCUAUUGCAUGUUUAGACGAUAUUU
This is a long non-coding RNA of Apis cerana (Asiatic honeybee), 413 nucleotides long. RefSeq lists it as uncharacterized. NCBI's taxonomy places the organism in Eukaryota, Metazoa, Arthropoda, Insecta, Hymenoptera, Apidae. The record is from RefSeq and is a predicted model, not a curated record.